GAUGAACGCUGGCGGCGUGCCUAAUACAUGCAAGUCGAGCGAACAGAUAAGGAGCUUGCUCCUUUGACGUUAGUGGCGGACGGGUGAGUAACACGUGGGUAACCUACCUAUAAGACUGGAAUAACUCCGGGAAACCGGGGCUAAUGCCGGAUAACAUUUAGAACCGCAUGGUUCUAAAGUGAAAGAUGGUUUUGCUAUCACUUAUAGAUGGACCCGCGCCGUAUUAGCUAGUUGGUAAGGUAACGGCUUACCAAGGCAACGAUACGUAGCCGACCUGAGAGGGUGAUCGGCCACACUGGAACUGAGACACGGUCCAGACUCCUACGGGAGGCAGCAGUAGGGAAUCUUCCGCAAUGGGCGAAAGCCUGACGGAGCAACGCCGCGUGAGUGAUGAAGGUCUUCGGAUCGUAAAACUCUGUUAUUAGGGAAGAACAAAUGUGUAAGUAACUGUGCACGUCUUGACGGUACCUAAUCAGAAAGCCACGGCUAACUACGUG
RNAcentral lists this ribosomal RNA (497 nucleotides) under uncultured bacterium. RNAcentral's name for it is "partial 16S ribosomal RNA". It matches the Rfam family "Bacterial small subunit ribosomal RNA", at positions 28 to 507 of the family's 1533-position model. The record is from RNAcentral.